AACGCUGGCGGCGUGCUUAACACAUGCAAGUCGAACGAAGCAUCCUCCCGAAGAAGCGGAAGUGCUUGCACAGAAGUGGAUUCAUUUGGGAUGACUUAGUGGCGGACGGGUGAGUAACGCGUGGGCAACCUGCCCUAGUAGAGGGGGACAACAGUUAGAAAUGACUGCUAAUACCGCAUAGUAAUGCAGAUCCGCAUGCUUCUGCAUUGAAAGCUUUUUGCGCUAUAGGAUGGGCCCGCGUUUGAUUAGCUAGUUGGUGAGGUAACGGCCCACCAAGGCGACGAUCAAUAGCCGGCUUGAGAGAGUGAACGGCCACAUUGGGACUGAGACACGGCCCAAACUCCUACGGGAGGCAGCAGUGGGGAAUAUUGCACAAUGGGGGAAACCCUGAUGCAAGCGACGCCGCGUGAGUGAAGAAGUAUUUCGGUAUGUAAAGCUCUAUCAGCAGGAAAGAUAAUGACGGUACCUGACUAAGAAGCCCCGGCUAACUACGUGCCAGCCGCCGC
Molecule: ribosomal RNA, 506 nt
Filed under: uncultured bacterium
Lineage: Bacteria
Description: bacterial SSU rRNA
Rfam family: Bacterial small subunit ribosomal RNA
Source: RNAcentral